Lontra canadensis (Northern American river otter) is the source of this 413-nucleotide long non-coding RNA. RefSeq lists it as uncharacterized. The transcript has 3 exons. The record is from RefSeq and is a predicted model, not a curated record. NCBI's taxonomy places the organism in Eukaryota, Metazoa, Chordata, Mammalia, Carnivora, Mustelidae.
UCUUAUGGGGACACCAGUCAUAUCAGAUUAAGAGCCCACCUUUGUGACCUCAUUUAGCCUUAAUACUUUCUUAAAGGCGCUAAUCCUUAUGUAGUUGCAUUGGGAGGUUAGGACUUCAUCAUAUGAAUUUCGGGGGAACACUGUCUGUUCUGUAACAGGUUAUAUCCUGGAUGAUAGAAACUCACCUUUUCUUUUCCCUAAAGUUGUGGCUUACAUCAAGUUCCAGGGAGCGUACCUUAUACCAAAGGACCCAAUGGGUGCCCCCAAACUGUUCUCGGCUCAUGGCCUGGAUUCUGCCAGUGACCUGAAUGAGCUCCAAGUUGGAUCAUUCCCAGAGUCCCCAAGGAAGAGGCCAGCCCGGCCAGCAUGUUGAUUUCAGCUUAGUGGGAGACCUCGAGCAGAGGACCCAAUUG